This 80-nucleotide transfer RNA is filed under the name Ipomoea nil (Japanese morning glory). It matches the Rfam family "tRNA". From Rfam's summary of the family: Transfer RNA (tRNA) molecules are approximately 80 nucleotides in length. Their secondary structure includes four short double-helical elements and three loops (D, anti-codon, and T loops). The record is from Rfam by way of RNAcentral. Lineage: Eukaryota; Viridiplantae; Streptophyta; Magnoliopsida; Solanales; Convolvulaceae.
GACGAUUUGGCCGAGUGGUCUCAGGUGCCAGAUUUAUGCUCUGGUCCUGAAGGGCGUGGGUUCAAAUCUCACCGUCGUAA